Molecule: ribosomal RNA, 249 nt
Filed under: Salmonella enterica
Lineage: Bacteria; Pseudomonadati; Pseudomonadota; Gammaproteobacteria; Enterobacterales; Enterobacteriaceae
Description: partial 16S ribosomal RNA
Rfam family: Bacterial small subunit ribosomal RNA
Source: RNAcentral
AAAUUGAAGAGUUUGAUCAUGGCUCAGAUUGAACGCUGGCGGCAGGCCUAACACAUGCAAGUCGAACGGUAACAGGAAGCAGCUUGCUGCUUCGCUGACGAGUGGCGGACGGGUGAGUAAUGUCUGGGAAACUGCCUGAUGGAGGGGGAUAACUACUGGAAACGGUGGCUAAUGCCGCAUAACGUCGCAAGACCAAAGAGGGGGACCUUCGGGCCUCUUGCCAUCAGAUGUGCCCAGAUGGGAUUAGCU